CAAAUGCGAUACGCAAUGCGAAUUGCAGAAUUCCGCGAGUCAUCAGAUCUUUGAACGCAAGUGGCGCUGGGUUAAACAAUACCCCAGCAUGUUUGUUUCAGUGUGUUAGGAAUCAUAUAUCUUAAUGCGGUUGAAGAACCCUCACCGGUUUUUCUCCCGUUAAACACGAAAGCGCUGAAUCGUUCAGUGCCAACCGAUGUAGUCACUUCCUCGCAAGUGAUCUCGGUUAGGCUAUAGCUGAGGAUUCACUCAAAGCGAUUUUCAAAAACAACAUAUUAUUCUCCAUUCAACACCUGAAAUCAAGCAAGAUCACCCGCUGAACUUAA
Molecule: unclassified non-coding RNA, 326 nt
Filed under: uncultured fungus
Lineage: Eukaryota; Fungi
Description: sequence contains ITS1
Rfam family: 5.8S ribosomal RNA (bases 1-106)
Source: RNAcentral